This is a long non-coding RNA of Planococcus citri (citrus mealybug), 3331 nucleotides long. RefSeq lists it as uncharacterized. The record is from RefSeq and is a predicted model, not a curated record. Lineage: Eukaryota; Metazoa; Arthropoda; Insecta; Hemiptera; Pseudococcidae. The transcript has 8 exons.
UUUUUGCUAAAAUUGUGAUUUUUUUAUUUUUAUUUUUCAGAACUAAAAUUGUGAUGGGAAUCGGUUUAUAGAUUUAUACAUAAGAAGACGUUCCGGAGUUUUCAGCCAUCUUUUGGAAAUUUUGGAAUUUCAAGAAGUAGACGAGUACCUACUAUUAAAAUUGCCAAAAUCAACUCGAGCACGUACGAAUAUGCGAUUGGUGCCUCUUAGUAACCCAUUCGAUGAUUCGACCAGUUUUAAACACCGAUUUUCCAAAAGUAUCACUUCAAUAGGUAUAUAAAUUCAAAAUCGACUAUUGUGGAACAAACGAACUAUCCGGAUGAACGACGUAUUGGGAAUCUUCACGCAUUUGACAAAUUCCGGACCAUCGGACGAAAAAUGCUCAAAAUCGAACAAAAAGCCUGUAUCAUUUAGGCGAGGAUCAGCGGAACGAUCAAUUGUUGGAAUGCGAAGCCGCGAAGGUUGUGCAGAAAAGAAAGAGACUCGGAGAAAAAGAAAUAUGUACCUAAAGACCGCGACUAAAUGAAAUUCCUUCGCCCUACGAAAACGAAACGAAACUGGAGAAAAAAAGGAAGAAAAAUACCUCGAAGAAAAUCAACAAAAGUGUACAAAGAUGCGGUCAAAUAUUUGAUAAGAUAGUCCUUGAACUCAAACUAUAUAUCUAGUUAUCUAGCAAGCACCAACAACACUAUCCUAUCCAGCAAGCAGAUGACGCCUUCGAGUAUAUGGUAUCAAUGACGUAACCGCAACAAUAGCGCAUUCGAUCUCACAGAACAGAAACCGGUUAUGCUGAGAAGCCGUUUUGGAACGCAGCUUUACAACUUGGAGUCGACGUCGACGACGGUGCUAUAGGUACUCGACUUGGAGAUGGAAUAAGGACACGAAGUAUGGAUUUGGCAAAAGACCUACCUACCUAUAAGAUGGUGAACUUGGACGACGUUCUCUCCUCGUAAGAAGAUCAACAAACCUACGUAAUCUUGUUCUAUUGUUCGAGAAUGUAGUGAUAGCGCAGGUACAAACAAAGAUAAGUUACGGGUCCUGUGUUCCUCUAUCUAGGCUACGUACUGUAUUACGAUGUCUCAGUUUAUGAGAGAACAUUUAGGGAUCGAAGUUUACAAAUGAGAUGGAUACUGGUGCCGGAGGUUGGGGAAGAGUUCUCUUUAUGGCAUCCUGACACCCUCGUACUCCACAAGGGCGAAAUUUAAACCCACGAGUGUUGCACCCUACCUCAUAUAGGUAAGUAAAAGUAAUCGAAUCUGAUCGUCGUACGAGUAUUAUAAGCAGUAAAUACUGUUUUUUAACGUGUGAAACCUUCCAACAUCAUCUAAGGUUUAUAAACUCGACGUACCUAUAACCAAUACAGCAGGCCUAUCGAUCGUAAAGUUUUUCAUUACCGUCUACACGGUGAUUUUUUUUCACCUUCGUAAGCAUAAAUGCUGCGAGAAGAAAAGCAGGUGACUAGACCGAUACUGCCACCAUGAUUAUUAAAUUCUCUCAGCUGCCUGCGAGUUGGAGUUUUUUUCCAAGCCAAGACUACCCAGUUGGAGCUCCGCACGUACCUAGGCGCUCGAAGUCGAGUACCAAUAUAUGGAUUGAUUAAAUAAUAAAAAAUGUACUGUGUGUUUAGAACUAGGUUACUUUUACCUGCAUCGAAUCCUUUUUGAAUACUUCGGCAAACAUUACAGCGUUUUGGAAAGGUGGUGACGCAGAAAGAACAGCGGGAUAAGAGUGAAAAAAAACCACCCACACACGCGAGAUCGACCACUCUCAGCUACGGAGACAAUGCGCCGACCGAUUCGAGAAUAAUAAAUGAAAAAUGCUGAAAAAUGAUUCGCAUCGUUGCUCGACACGUACUCGAACCACCGACACCGACGAUCAACUUUCAAGAGCUUACGAACACACUGGCAAUGGCAAAAUAUGUGGAAUAUAAAAUUUACACUACUUCAUUUCGGUGCGGCGGAAGGCUCAUUGACGUUGUUUGAUAAAGAUAAUAGGUACCUAAAUACGCACAAAGAUACGCGAUAUUCUGCUAUCUCUCGACUACGGUGGCGGCGGUGUAAUUAACGAACGACGAGUCGAUUCGAGAAUAGCAUUUACAAAAAUUACGUACGUAGCUCUACGAGUAAAUUUUUCGAUAAAAAUUGAAAAAUUCGGCACCGAUCACCGAUUGUGUGUGGCUACAUUAUUACAAAAUAAAGAUGGUAACACAAGAGGCCACAUGCACUCCGAAGUGUGUACGAACCGAAUGCAACUCAGCUACUAGCUCGCCGCUCGCUGCUCGCAGUGCUCGGAAUCGCGAUCUGCACCGUCGUCCGCGCUAUAUGCCUGCCUAAGUAUAAGCCUUAAGGUACCAAACGUUAACCGGCCGCCGCCGUACCUUCUUAUACACCUUUGAUGAUGUCGAUGAUGAUGAUGAUGGUUGUGUGAUGCUGCAGCUGUUACCGCCUGCGCUGCGUCAUCGUCUUCUUUCUUCUCCAUCUGCGCCUCACCUUCUUCUUAAGUUAAGUCUUUCUUCGACUUUGGUCGGUUCGGUUUGGUUUUUGUGAAUAACCAGCGAACGUAUUAUAUUGUGAGAGAGGAUAACGGCGAACGGGAGGUGAUGGCGGCGGCGACCGGGACCGGGGACCGCGAUCGUCGGUCGCGCGGUGGCGGUGGUGGUGCUCGCGAAGGCGGAGGUGAUUAUACCUGUAAAUAAACUGCAAUCGUGACAUUCCAAAUGGAUCAGUGUAGCCCAAGUGGCAACUUUUUUUCCUACUUCGAAGAUUUCCUCCCGAGUUCUGUGUGUACCUCUACCUGGUCUCGUCAGGUAUGCAGAAUGGCCGUUGCACUGCGCUAGCUAUGCUCGUAGUGUGCCCCUGCUGGCUGAACUUAUAAUAUGCUGCUCGAACAAUAGGAAGUGAUCAACUUGGUUGAUAGUGAAAGGAUCACUCACUGUUCACUGGCUCUUGAGUAGGCAUAGGAUGGUCAAGGGACACCCCUAUUACAAGAAUUGGCUCAAUUUGAUCUCGAGAAUCGUCGAAAAUCUGCUGUAGAAUAGAACAAGGUAUCUGGUGGCGGAUGUCGAGUUUCGAGACCUGAAUAUUGCAGCCUCCUGAGAUAGCGUAGACCUGGAACGAAAAUUCACUAUCGAUGUGUAACUCGAAGAAACCAAUGCAAGACGCAAGACUCCUUCUGAUUGAUUGUCUGCAACCACGAGUGCAUUGAAAUAUGAUGGAUUGCAUUUUUUUCGAUGUUUAAAUCUGUGCAAUUGGUUAUAUCCGAGCUCGAGCUGAAAAUACGAAGGAAAAUCCGCCUUAUGUUUGAAAUUUUGAAACAGAAUGGACGAGUUGAA